AUGGGUUGCGAGGAAAUGAAACAUAUAACUGGGCAUCUUCCAGAAUUUGCCCGUUGUAAACUUCUUGGUUUUGAUCUAGAGGAAAUUUAUAUGUAUUGUGCGGUGAAUUGCAUUGAAAAUCCUUACAUUGCCACUUACAUAAAGAAAAGAAAACAAAUAGAAGAUGAAGACAAUACUAAUGAAAGGGAAGAGACUUCCCAAUACCCUCCUAUUAUUUCUUAUGAUGAAUCAGGUAAUGAGGAGGAGCUUCCUAUUCAACCAAUCUCAUUAAUAAGGAGCUCUAAAAAGAGGAUUGAACCCACACAUGAUGUGGCGAAGAAGAAGAAAAGAAAAAGGAAGAGAGGUAAAAAGAUAUCUCUCCCAAAUAAUGUUGCUCCUAUUACUAUUGUGCCUCAUGAAAAUAUAAUUGUGGAAGAUAAUGAUACUUCUUAUGAUCUUGAAAAUCUUUUUGGCACAUGCUUGGAAGAAUAUGAUAAUUGA
RNAcentral lists this ribosomal RNA (480 nucleotides) under Triticum aestivum (bread wheat). RNAcentral describes it as "partial small subunit ribosomal RNA". The record is from RNAcentral. Lineage: Eukaryota; Viridiplantae; Streptophyta; Magnoliopsida; Poales; Poaceae.